GUUCUUCCGGUCAUACGGUUGGGUAGCAGGUAGGGCAGUGGGGGUCAGUCAGUGGUGUUCUUGUGGUGAUACAGCUGGGUAGUGGGUAGGGCAUGGAGAGUGGCUUGUGUUGGGCCUGCAAGGUCCUAGCGGACGUGCGGGUUGAUUGCAAAUUCCUAAUAGGAAAGAGCCAGGGUCAGGCGCAGGCCUGGCUUUAUCCCCACACCUGAGUAAGACGCUUUGGUUCUUAUCCCAGUCUCUCACCUGGCCAGCUUCCUGUUUUGAGUUUGAGCCAUGUCCCUGACUGACCCUCCCUCUAUUAAGAGGGAUUGGCCUGUUUUUGGAAGCUGGGCUGAGCCCAUGUCUCUUGACCGUAUAUAUUUCCAUGUCCAAGAGCUUAAAAAAGACUUACUUAGAUGCAAUAUAGGUAUGUCUUCCCCUUUAGGAAACAAAUAAUGUUGUCCUGGGAUGAGAGGAGAAGUCCUGGCUAACACUUGACCUAACUUGUGUCUUUCGCAGUGUCUUGGGACAAGGUGCGCAUUCCUGGUGUGCUGCAGCGCUUAGGAGUGACAUACUUUGUGGUUGCUGUGUUGGAGCUCCUCUUUGCUAAACCUGUGCCUGAACAUUGUGCCUCGGAGAGGAGCUGCCUUUCUCUUCGAGACAUCACGUCCAGUUGGCCCCAGUGGCUGCUCAUCCUGGUGCUGGAAGGCCUGUGGCUGGGCUUGACAUUCCUCCUGCCAGU
RNAcentral lists this small RNA (721 nucleotides) under Pongo abelii (Sumatran orangutan). RNAcentral describes it as "retained intron". Lineage: Eukaryota; Metazoa; Chordata; Mammalia; Primates; Hominidae. The record is from RNAcentral.